This is a long non-coding RNA of Alligator sinensis (Chinese alligator), 218 nucleotides long. RefSeq lists it as uncharacterized. The record is from RefSeq and is a predicted model, not a curated record. The transcript has 3 exons. Lineage: Eukaryota; Metazoa; Chordata; Crocodylia; Alligatoridae.
AAGGCUGCGUGCGCCCUGUGGAUCUCAGUGGGGCCCCCAAGCCUGGCCUGGCCCCCGAGCUGCACUUUACCUUCCCCAUCGAGACCAUUGUGUGCCUUCAGGACAGCGUGCUGGCCUUCUGGAAGCAUGGCAUGCAGGGCCGCAGCCUGCAGGAUGCACAGGUGACGCAGGAGAUCACGGAUCAGUCGCGGGUCUUCCGGGUGCUGGGAGCGCACAGG